Molecule: ribosomal RNA, 274 nt
Filed under: uncultured bacterium
Lineage: Bacteria
Description: partial 16S ribosomal RNA
Rfam family: Bacterial small subunit ribosomal RNA
Source: RNAcentral
AUACGGAGGGGGCUAGCGUUGUUCGGAAUUACUGGGCGUAAAGCGCGCGUAGGCGGUAUAUCAAGUUAGGCGUGAAAGCCCCGGGCUCAACCCGGGAACUGCGCUUAUUACUGAUAAACUAGAGUCCGGGAGAGGGUGGCGGAAUUCCCAGUGUAGAGGUGAAAUUCGUAGAUAUUGGGAAGAACACCAGUUGCGAAGGCGGCCACCUGGACCGGUACUGACGCUGAGGUGCGAAAGCGUGGGGAGCAAACAGGAUUAGAAACCCCAGUAGUCC